UGAGGAAUAUUGCGCAAUGGCCGAAAGGCUGACGCAGCGACGCCGCGUGGGGGAUGACGGCCUUCGGGUUGUAAACCCUUGUCAGUGGGGAAGAAAAAAAUGACUGUACCCACAGAGGAAGCCCCGGCUAACUACGUGCCAGCAGCUGCGGUAAUACGUAGGGGGCGAGCGUUAUUCGGAAUUACUGGGUGUAAAGGGUAUGUAGGCGGCUCUUUAAGUCAGAUGUGAAAUCCUGCAGCUCAACUGCAGAACUGCAUUUGAUACUGGAGGGCUUGAGUGUGGGAGAGGAAAGUGGAAUUCCAGGUGUAGCGGUGAAAUGCGUAGAUAUCUGGAGGAACACCCGUGGCGAAGGCGGCUUUCUGGCCCACCACUGACGCUGAGAUGCGAAAGCUAGGGGAGCGAACG
This 405-nucleotide ribosomal RNA is filed under the name uncultured prokaryote. RNAcentral describes it as "bacterial SSU rRNA". It matches the Rfam family "Bacterial small subunit ribosomal RNA", at positions 355 to 774 of the family's 1533-position model. The record is from RNAcentral.